UACGUAGGAUGCAAGCGUUAUCCGGAUUUACUGGGCGUAAAGAGGGAGUAGGUGGUUCUUCAAGUCGGAUGUAAAAUCUCCCGGCUUAACUGGGAGGGACCAUGCGAUACUGUUGAACUAGAGGACAGCAGGGGGAGAUGGAAUUCCCGGUGUAGUGGUGAAAUGCGUAGAUAUCGGGAAGAACACCAGUGGCGAAGGCGGUCUCCUAGGCUGUUACUGACACUGAGGCCCGAAAGCGUGGGGAGCGAACAGGAUUAGAUACCCCUGUA
Molecule: ribosomal RNA, 269 nt
Filed under: uncultured prokaryote
Description: partial 16S ribosomal RNA
Rfam family: Bacterial small subunit ribosomal RNA
Source: RNAcentral